Molecule: ribosomal RNA, 274 nt
Filed under: uncultured soil bacterium
Lineage: Bacteria
Description: partial 16S ribosomal RNA
Rfam family: Bacterial small subunit ribosomal RNA
Source: RNAcentral
AGAAUCAACGCUGGCGGCGUGCCUCAGACAUGCAAGUCGAACGCGAAAGUCCCCUUCGGGGAACAAGUAGAGUGGCGCACGGGUGAGUAACACGUAGGUAAUCUACCUUUGGAUGGGGGAAUAACAACCGGAAACGGUUGCUAAUACCGCAUAAUGCAGCGGCACCUAAUGGUGACAGUUGUUAAAGCGGGGGAUCGAAAGACCUCGCGUCUAAAGAGGAGCCUGCGGCGGAUUAGCUAGUUGGUAAGGUAAUGGCUUACCAAGGCUACGAUCC